This 67-nucleotide transfer RNA is filed under the name Marmota marmota marmota (Alpine marmot). It matches the Rfam family "tRNA". From Rfam's summary of the family: Transfer RNA (tRNA) molecules are approximately 80 nucleotides in length. Their secondary structure includes four short double-helical elements and three loops (D, anti-codon, and T loops). Lineage: Eukaryota; Metazoa; Chordata; Mammalia; Rodentia; Sciuridae. RNAcentral also lists the same sequence under 1 other name. The record is from Rfam by way of RNAcentral.
GGUUGUGGCUCAGAGGUAGAGCGCUUGCCUGGCAUGCAUGAAGCACUGGAUUCGAUCCUCAGCACCA